Long non-coding RNA from Leopardus geoffroyi (Geoffroy's cat), 2430 nucleotides. RefSeq lists it as uncharacterized. The transcript is spliced from 4 exons. NCBI's taxonomy places the organism in Eukaryota, Metazoa, Chordata, Mammalia, Carnivora, Felidae. The record is from RefSeq and is a predicted model, not a curated record.
UAAGUAUAUGAAUAAACGGAUUUAGAGAAUGUCAAGGACUUGCUUAAGGCCACACCACUUGGCGUCUGUCGUUUCAAAACUCCAUGCAAGGCGAUGCUAAGCUCCUUCAGGAUGAUGUUUCUCAGACUUACUUUCUCCCAUGGAUGGGCUCUGAACCAGACUGCUUAGAUCAAAACCACUUGCUGGUUCGUAGCACGAAGAAAGAUUCUUAAUCUCUGUCCUUCAACUUCUCACGUGCAAAAACGGAGCUGAUGAUAACGGUAGCUACCUCAUAGGAUUCUUUGGUGAUGCAAUAAAUUAAUGGCUAUAAAUUACUUGGCUCAAUCCUGGAACGCACAGGGUUCCAGAAAGACUUGUUGUUAUUAUUAGCACCGUUUAUUAUUAUUACUGCUGUUGCUACAAUCUGCACCCAGAACAGCUCAUAAUAGAGGCAAAAAUCAACCCUCCUAGGUAAUCGCACCAACAGGCUGCUCUACAAUAUAUGAAUUGACGUCUGGCUUCAGGAGGAAUACUCGAUUCACGUCUCAAAAUAAUGUGGCGCCGUGUAUCCAGAAAUGAAUAAAGGGCUUUCCUACUUUGGGGACUCAGUCUAACGUGCUGGGUCUUACCCUUUUGGAGGUCGGAGCGUUGGACGACGGUGACCGACCCUUGCGUGCACAAGGCCCUUUGCAACAUUCCAGUCACGGUGGGUCUUUUCGAGGCGGGCCUCGGAAGUCACGGUUAGCGCCCACCUCCUCUACGACAGGCCUUCUGCCAGGCACCGUACAUCCAGGGGCUCGUGCAAUCCUCAUAAUCACCCGAACGCGGAGAAAACCGAAGUUCACAGAACGAAGUGUCUUUCUCAAGGUCACUUAGUACGCAUGAUACUUGCGCUGUUUCCGGGGCCAUUUCCCCUGUGCCUCCUUUGCCAGUGCCUGUUGACUAUCAGUUUAAGCACCCUUCAAGGUGAAAUUGCUUCGAAACCCCUUCCACGGUUUGACAGCCUACAUUCAAGCCUUUUAGCAUAAUUGGGGAAGUCAGUGGGCGGGUGAUUCUAGCUUGCUGUAGUAGAAGCCAGUAAGCCAUCUACUUAUCAUUCUGUUGGCGAAGUUUCUCCGCUUUCUUUCCUCUCGAUAACACAGCAGGAUGUCAUUUGCAAGGAUGCCAAUCCCCACACGGUUCCUGCACCUAACUUGCGACAUCAGUCACCGACUGGUUGUGAGAAACGCCCCCGUUGUAUAAAUGAGCCCCUCCCCUUUGACACCUAAAUUGUCUUCGUGCCUGUUCUACACGUCGGAGGGCGCAGAGAGGGCUUUCCAAUUUCACACCCCUAAUCCAAUUUCCCAGACACGGCGGUUCCUAAGUUUGACAGCGGAAGAGGAAGGACUCCACCGCUCCCCAGAGUGGACCUGCAACCCUGGCGUGUGCCACAGAGAUCCCAUUUUCAGGACCAGCCAUCCUCCUUCCUCUGCACACACACAGAAAGUAGAAGGGGGUAAUUAUCCCCCAGGAGCACCUUAAUUGUUCCAAUUAACCUGACCACUUUUUGCAAUCAAAGCCAGGCGGAGAAGAGGAAUUAAAGUGAUCAAACACCGUUUUAUGGGCCGUGGGUAAGUAAGAGACAAGGCAGGGCACUUUCUCUGAAGGACGGGCUCUGAAACGACAUAGGCUUGCACUCAGGGAUUUUUCUACCACCAUUACCGAAAAGAAAAAUGACAUCUUAGCAGCUUGUAAUUCUGCCAUCACUGUGCCUUUCUUUCAUAACACACAGCACAUGACCACAAUUAUCCACGCUCGUUUAAGCUGUCUGUGGAAGCACUCUGUGAGCGGGACUGUUUAACUGCUUUCUCGGGCAGGCAAGCCUGGCUUUGAACCCCCGUUCUAAAACUAACGCGCGCUCCAGUACUGGACAAGCAAGGAAACGCUGCGGAACCUCACCAUCCCGAGCUACGAGGUGGGCACCGGCCCCACAUUCUAGACGAUGGAAGUGACUCUUCAGUGAACUGAAGUUACCUUCCCACAUUCACGUUUGAGCUUGUUUCAGGUGUAUAAUAUGGUGAUUCAACAAUUCCGUACAUUCCUCAGCGCUCAUCAGGAUGACGCAGAGGUCCUAUGGAAAAGUGGAGUCAAAACAUGGAAGCAACCUAGAUUCCCGAGUCAUCGUGUGGAAGACCGCUCUGCCAAACACCAACAGCAACAUUGGACUGACACACGAGUGAAAAAUAAGUUUCGGUUGAUUUUGGUCAAUGGGACUUUGGGGUUUAUUUAUCCCAGCAAUUAACGCUAUCCGAAUUAACACGUGAAAUUAAUCAAGUGGUUGCCCUGAGCUUCCGUUUUCUCAUCUCCAAUAUGAUCAUCAAAAAACUUUAGGUGGAAAAAGAAACUCUUUCCACCCCCCUCAUUGGUUCCUAUGUGCCCACUCAGGGAAUCGAGAGUUAGUAAGGACUGUAG